UACGUAGGCAGCGAGCGUUGUUCGGAAUUACUGGGCGUAAAGAGUGUGUAGGCGGUGCUCCAAGUCUGUUGUGAAAUCUCCCGGCUUAACCGGGAGGGUGCAGCGGAAACUGGAAUGCUUGAGGGUGGGAGAGGUAAGCGGAAUUCCUGGUGUAGCGGUGAAAUGCGUAGAUAUCAGGAGGAACACCUGUGGUGUAGACAGCUUACUGGACCACUUCUGACGCUGAGACACGAAAGCGUGGGUAGCAAACAGG
RNAcentral lists this ribosomal RNA (253 nucleotides) under uncultured bacterium. RNAcentral describes it as "partial 16S ribosomal RNA". It matches the Rfam family "Bacterial small subunit ribosomal RNA", at positions 524 to 776 of the family's 1533-position model. The record is from RNAcentral.